This 43-nucleotide transfer RNA is filed under the name Podarcis siculus (Italian wall lizard). RNAcentral describes it as "partial tRNA-Leu". Lineage: Eukaryota; Metazoa; Chordata; Lepidosauria; Squamata; Lacertidae. RNAcentral also lists the same sequence under 4 other names. The record is from RNAcentral.
CUUUUAUAGGAAAGCAGCAAUCCAUUGGUUUUAGGCACCAAAA